CCUGCAGAGCAAGGAGAUCCACAAAGUCAUCCGCUUCAAAUGCGGAUUUUACCCUGCCUCUUCCCGGGGUGACACCUUCAGGAGGGGCCUUCUCCUUCCUUAGCGCCCAUGGUACCUCUCGGGAGCACAUGGCUCUUCAGCUAACUGGCCGCAAAGAGGGAAUUAUGUACAAGCGAAAACUGGAAAGAGCCACCGGGCCCACGGGGGUGGGGCUUCCAGCCGUCAGACCCUCGGACACAGCGCUUGACAGGCGGUCACGAUGCUAAUGGGGAAGGCACCUGCUGAAGUCCAGGGCAGUUUGUCCUCAACUGCCCCCUGGAGCACAGACAGACCUGGCUUGCUGUCCAGCGUGGGACAGUGGCUCAUCCAGGCACGAUCACCACCAGUGGACAAGCGCCGCAUGUGUGUGCCUCCAAACAGGUGCUCUCUGGCCCCUGACAUGCUGCGCAGUCUCAGCUCCAUCUACAAUAGGAGACAGGCGGGCAGGGGCUUGGUUGGCCCUCUUCCAAAGGCAGUCAGUGGGUUGGGAUAUGUGACCCCCGAUGCUGCUCUCUGGGUGAACUGAUCGCCUAAGUGUGCGGAGCUCCUGGGCAGGAGGUGCUGGGGGUCCAAGCCCACAGCACCCGCAGGAACAGGCAGGUGCCCAUGGCUGGAGUGGGCUUUGCAGGCUGGCUCUUGACUGCACUUUAAAAUCAAAUAUGUCACAUUUUUUCAAGAACAGCGAGGCUUCACCAUCUUGUGCAGCCGCUUCCUUUCAAGUUCCAGAACAUUUCCUCACCUCUCAGCCCUGGGCACCACCAUUCUGCUUUCUGGUAUUUUAAUUGAACAUAAGGCACAUUUCUCAAAAGUCAGGUGCACAGAGAUGAUUGUUAAUAAAUGAUAUUUAACCAGUAUUUGCACCAUUUAUGUGAUGGCACACGGUUUCAUCUGCUCACUCACUAAAAUAGAAUGAAGCAGUUAGGAUGACCAACAUAGAAGAGACUAGGAACAACAAAUGCUGGUGAGGAUGCAGAGAAAGGGGAACCCUCCUACACUGCUAGGGGGAAUGUAAGCUAGUUCAACCAUUGUGGAAAGCAAUAUGGAGGUUCCUCAGAAAACUCAAAAUAGAAAUACCAUUUGACCCAGGAAUUCCACUCCUAGGAAUUUAUCCGAAGAAAACAAGAUCACAAAUUCAAGAAGACAUAUGCACCCCUAUGUUUAUCGCAGCAUUAUUUACAAUAGCUGAGAUAUGGAAGCAUCCCAAGUGCCCAUCAGAUAAGGGUGAAUGUAAUAACUACAUUGUUUUUUCAUAUGAAACCUUCAUAAGAGUGUAUAUCAAUAAUGCCUUAAAAAUAAAAAAAAAAAAACCUUUGUUAACUCAUAAUAAGCACAGGCAUCUCCUGGGUACCCCGUCCUCAGGGGAGGUACUCUGACUGAGAGGGGUGGGUGCUGAGCGUGCUGGGAGGGCCUGUGAGGCAUUUGCCUGCAGCCUCUAUUGUUAGUACUUUAGACGGUAUUUUUCCUCUUACAGAUGGAAAGAUGGGCUUUAAUAUGGACAUACGUAAUGCCUUUCCAUGCCUUCCACCCCUGGCUCAAACCCCAGUCUGUGCCCUGAGGGGAGAAUGUACCCCCUUUAGGAGAGGGGUGUUGUGAGGUUCCUGAGAACUUCUGUCUUCCAGCUGAAGGCCGGUCAGCUAUUAGUGGGGGUGUGUCGGUUUCCUGGGACCACAGAAGUGCCACAACCUGACCCUGUGUCUCCAACGGCAGGCAGAAAUGCUGCCGCGGUUGGGCUCCUCCAGCUCCUGGAGGCAGUGAGGACGCUGGCAUUGGCUGGACCCGGGGGCACAUCCCUGCCACCUGAGCCUCCUCGUCGCCUGUCUCCCCCCUGCGUCUUUCCCCUUGUCUUCCAAGGAGGACAUCUGUCAUGGACUUAAGACCACCAGGGUGGUCUCCUCUCAGGACCCUAAUUUCACCUGCAAGGACUCUUUCUCCAAGAAAGGUCAUAGUCAUAGGUUCUGGGCAGACAUGUCUUUGAGGGCCACCAUCCUCCAACUACUUUGAGCUUCCUGGUGAAGAUGGGAUGGCUGUAGUGAGGGGUG
This is a long non-coding RNA of Manis pentadactyla (Chinese pangolin), 2078 nucleotides long. RefSeq lists it as uncharacterized. The transcript is spliced from 3 exons. The record is from RefSeq and is a predicted model, not a curated record. Lineage: Eukaryota; Metazoa; Chordata; Mammalia; Pholidota; Manidae.